This 536-nucleotide unclassified non-coding RNA is filed under the name Centruroides sculpturatus (bark scorpion). RNAcentral describes it as "dNA-directed RNA polymerase III subunit RPC1-like, transcript variant X3". The record is from RNAcentral. Lineage: Eukaryota; Metazoa; Arthropoda; Arachnida; Scorpiones; Buthidae.
CCAUUGUCAAACUUCUAGGCUUAUAGGAAAACAACACUGAACAUCCGACAUACACGUUUUCGCGUUGAAAAUGUCGGCUGCAACCUCUAUUAAAAGAAAAAUGCAAUAUCUUUACUACAUUAUUGCAUUUCAAUAAUAUCUAUAUAACAUCUGUAGGUGCAAUGCAAACAGACAAUCAUUAUGUCCAAACAGACAACAAUAACAAUCAGCAAGAAGAUAAUCAUUAUGUCGUAAGUAAAAAUUUCAUUAAUAUUCUAGCAGCAAACAGACAAUCAUUAUGUCGUAAGUAAAAAUUUUAUAUUUUAUUAUAUACGUUAUUCAGUUUUAUAAAAUUAUAAUAAUAUUUUUGCAGCAAACAGACAACAAUAACAAUAUGAACAGAAACAUGUACAUAUAUGUACCAGUUGUUGUAAUGACACUGUUAAUUGUUCUUCUUGCCAUCAGACCUGACACGUCUGCAGAAACUAUUCAGACAAUACUGAUUCUGUUUUAUAAAUUCUCUGAAAAACUAUUAAUUUAAAUAAUAAUUAAAAAAU